RNAcentral lists this unclassified non-coding RNA (190 nucleotides) under rhizosphere metagenome. RNAcentral's name for it is "partial ribosomal RNA internal transcribed spacer region". The record is from RNAcentral.
GAAAUAAACCUGAUGGGUUGUUGCUGGUUCUCUAGGGAGCAUGUGCACACCUUGUCAUCUUUAUAUCUCCACCUGUGCACCUUUUGUAGACCUUCCAGGUCUAUGUUGCUUCAUUUACCCCCAAUGUAUGUUAAUAGAGUGUUGUGUUUAUAAAAUCUAUACAACUUUCAGCAACGGAUCUCUUGGCUCU